Molecule: long non-coding RNA, 1378 nt
Organism: Gallus gallus (chicken)
Lineage: Eukaryota; Metazoa; Chordata; Aves; Galliformes; Phasianidae
Source: Ensembl
CGCUGAGUCAGCUGCAGGGGCACAGGUGAACGCAAUUUCACCUGAGUGACCGGAAGGGAUGGAGCUUGGCUCCACCCCUCCUAGACCCCAUUUAAGGGCUGACUCCCAAGGAGGAAAUAUUUCUAUCUUGAGAUCUCCCCUCUUGGAGUUCUUCUGUGAGCCCAGGACAUGGCUACUUGGCCCCUUCACUGCGAGAUGCCUUGACUCUGUACAACACUGCUUAGCAGUAGCUAUAAGCAUUGCUGUUACCAGCAUUGUUUUUCUCCUAGAACCAAGACAUACUCUCAUACCAAACACUCUGAAGAAAGCAAUUCCAUCACAGCUGAAACUAAAACAGCUAACAAGGACAUGAGACCCAGUGAAGUGCAGAAUACCACCUCUCUGCUACUUGUGAUGAAGAGCUAUCAUGUCUGCAACCAUAACAGGCAUUCAGUUUGAUACCUCAAGAGUUGGUUUUAAGUGGAUGGAUACCUAACUGUUUGCAACCUAGACAUGAUUCAUCCUCUUGUUCCAACUGAAGAGGAACAGUCACUUUUAGAAUACCAGUCUGCAUUCUCAAGAUGCUUAAAGCAAAACUGAUGAAUGACACUGCCUAUUCUUCUCUCUUAACUACAACAGGAAGUUGGGUACUGCUGAGGUAGAGACAUCUAUGCUACAAACUUUAGCUGAGGGGAAUCCCACCCAUAUCCUUCUGUCUAUUGAUGUGGCUAGGAAAUUGUUUUCUUCUAUCCAGCCUGCAGAAACUGUCAGGCAUUCUGUCUGUACACAUUAACCAUGUACUAGGUUUGGGAUUUACUAAUGCUUGUAAGCAUGACUAAGAGAAGACUGAAGUGUCGUAGUUUACUAUGAGUGAAAGUUUGAACGAGUGUGCAGAAGUGCCUGUGGUGCCUGAAAUCUCCAUCCUCAGGGAAAAACAAAGGUUUCAUUUUAUGUUCAACCAGCAACUGACUUUUCAAAAUCAAAUUAAUUCAAUGCAAAUGACAAAAAAGUCUGACCACGGGGAACAUGCUUGUUAGAGUACCUGUGUUUUAGUGGAGUGGCUGAGAGCUCUUUUUCAUGCUACUGUGUUGACCGUCCUCAUGCUCCUGAAGUCAUAUGUUUUUAUCCACUCUGAUGGCAGGCUUCAGAAUUGUUGAUCUGGCAUGAGAAUGUACUGAAUACCAUCUUUUGAAAUGUUCGCAUCAUAUACUGCAGCUUUUUUGUUUUGUUUAGGGUUUCUUUCCCCCCACUAAUGGGAUUGUGGUGCCGGUACUGAUUUAUCUUCAUUCCUCAUCCAAAUUAACAACUAAGGCCUACACUGUAAAAUUCAUUUACAAAUUUCUGUGAAUUUUGCAUAACUGAAAUUGUAGAGGCAUUCAAUUAAACUAAUAAUGUUACC